Molecule: transfer RNA, 88 nt
Filed under: Salmonella enterica
Lineage: Bacteria; Pseudomonadati; Pseudomonadota; Gammaproteobacteria; Enterobacterales; Enterobacteriaceae
Description: tRNA-Leu
Rfam family: tRNA
About the family: Transfer RNA (tRNA) molecules are approximately 80 nucleotides in length. Their secondary structure includes four short double-helical elements and three loops (D, anti-codon, and T loops). Further hydrogen bonds mediate the characteristic L-shaped molecular structure. tRNAs have two regions of fundamental functional importance: the anti-codon, which is responsible for specific mRNA codon recognition, and the 3' end, to which the tRNAs corresponding amino acid is attached (by aminoacyl-tRNA synthetases). tRNAs cope with the degeneracy of the genetic code in two manners: having more than one tRNA (with a specific anti-codon) for a particular amino acid; and 'wobble' base-pairing, i.e. permitting non-standard base-pairing at the 3rd anti-codon position.
Source: RNAcentral
GCCGAAGGUGGCGGAAUUGGUAGACGCGCUAGCUUCAGGUGUUAGUGUUCUUACGGACGUGGGGGUUCAAGUCCCCCCCCUCGCACCA